AGAAAGAGUAAAUUGUAGAGGUGAUAGCAGUAGUGCUGCUAUCUUCAGGGGAAAGAAAGGGAGCAAGUCUGGUCCUUGGUUUGCCCCCUGGGAUGUUGCUGUCCACUGAACCCCUGAAAAUCAGCUGAUGGCAGUGUGAGUACAUUCUGAGGUGCCAAAACCUCACUAAGAUCAUCACACCUGGAAGAACUAGCAAGCAAACCCUGCAGAAUUCAAAUCAGUGGUAUCACACAAAGGACCACAUUCCACAGCAUCCAGUUAGGAGACUGAUCUGGGAUAUGCGUACCUUUGACUUCAUCAUACCCAGUGCCACUGAGAAUACACAUCUGAUGGUUAGUUUCUGUAUUGUGUUUUAUUUCAGGGGGUUAAUUGAACAAUGACAUUAAGAUGUUCUAAAGAUUUGUGUCUCCA
This is a long non-coding RNA of Coturnix japonica (Japanese quail), 411 nucleotides long. The record is from Ensembl. Lineage: Eukaryota; Metazoa; Chordata; Aves; Galliformes; Phasianidae.